AGGGGGGGAUGUGGCCAUGGUUGACUGGUCGGCGACGCCUCCGGUCAGAUCUGAUCUGACCGGUGCCGCUGGCGGUGGUGGCCAUCUCCUCCAUCGGAGGUGGUCGGCCUGAGGCUGGAUGGUCCGAUCUCGAGAUCCGCCAUCUAGUUCCGGCAGCGAGUCAGGAAGACAUAGUUGCCGGUGAAAACCGAGCCGAUGGCAGGCGAUGGCAGCGUCUGCAUCGUUACCUUGAUGAAGGCAUCGCCGUGUAACUACUGUCGACCCACUCGUGCUGCUCCAGGGGAAACCCUAAGAUCUGGUCUUCCAGAUCGGACGAUGGCGGUACUGCGGUGUCGUUUUCUCUCUUGGGAGCAUCGUUUGUGGAGCAGAGCUGGAAGACAGAGGCAGGAGGUGGAGCGGCUUCGUCUUGCACGGAGCUUUCGGUCGAGAUGUCAAGUCAUGCUUGCCGACAGGUGGUACGCUGUGUUAUGCCUGGUUGGCAGGUGCUACGCACGACAGAUCUUUCAGAAUCUUCGUGGCUGGACGGACGAGCGCGGGGUGGUGACGCCGUGGUGGCGUCGACGGAUGGAUGGACUGGCAAGGAUGAUGCAGAUCUCUCUCCUGAAGAUGGGUCAACGGUUCGAUGAUGAUGGCGGCGUCUAAAACGUGUGCAUGUGGUGUAUGCUUUAGGUCUGCUGCACCGGCUGUGCGUUUCGAUACGUUAUGUGGAUGGAUUGGCGACGGCACCGGUUUUAGAUACGGGGAGUGAGAGCACUCCACAUUAUGGAGUUUUGUAGGUGUGAGUGGUGGCUUCGGGUGGCUUGAUGUAUGUUCUUGUUAGACCUAUGUUGAAUAAUAAAUAAAGAUGGCUGUAUGCAUCGAUUGAUGCAGAGGCCGGNNNNNNNNNNNNNNNNNNNNNNNNNNNNNNNNNNNNNNNNNNNNNNNNNNNNNNNNNNNNNNNNNNNNNNNNNNNNNNNNNNNNNNNNNNNNNNNNNNNNNNNNNNNNNNNNNNNNNNNNNNNNNNNNNNNNNNNNNNNNNNNNNNNNNNNNNNNNNNNNNNNNNNNNNNNNNNNNNNNNNNNNNNNNNNNNNNNNNNNNNNNNNNNNNNNNNNNNNNNNNNNNNNNNNNNNNNNNNNNNNNNNNNNNNNNNNNNNACCUUCUAUUCUGAGGGUAUCCGGUAAACAGAGCUCGGGACACCUCAUCUUUGGGCUCCCUUGGCGCCCCGACCCUUGCGCUAACCAUUUUUUAUUCGAGAAGUGCUAAUCAUAAUUAUGUCCUAAUCCAUCCUAACUUGGUGUCAACCUACAGAUAAGAUUGGGGCGUUUGUGUGCUAUGAUUGUAUCCUAAUAAUAAUUAUGUGUUAAUCAAUGGUAGUUGGUGCUAAUCAUUUCUUCUCAGGUCUUAUCUUAAUUGCAAUUAAUAAUUAUGAUGUUCAUUGAUGUUUUGGAUGUGGGUCAGUACCAUUAGAAUACUAUAUAAAGGUAAAAGCCCCUAUGUGGAGAUAUAGGGGGUUGUGUUUUCGGGGCUCUGCUUGACUUGCUCUAAAGUCAUGUUUCAAGCACCACACCAAUUCAAGAUUCGUAUAGACUUGCCUGAAUGGGCAUCAUUCGGGCCACAAAUGAGUUUAGCCACAGAGCUAGAACAGAACCCUUGUUGAGAACUUUCAGCAUGAAAUUGGCAAAGUUCAGUUACAGUUUUGGAUUUCUGACCCUAUCAUCACCAAGUCACUUGGUUUAUCAAGUGGCCAAGUCGGAGUUGCUCAUGUUAGCAUCGUUGAUUUAAAAUACUUACCAGGAAGGAGUGACUUCAACACAGAAAUAGACGUGGCCAAGUUAGGCAAAAAGUUGAUUGCAAAGGCUGCACCUCUUUGUACAGUUUCCUUUAUAUCGGGAGAAAAUCAUACAUACUGGUGACCCCCCUAGAAAGCAAGGUAGUACUAUAAUUUUUUCUGUUGAGAAAGGUAUUUUUUUCCGACAAGGAGGAUGACCACCGGGCAUCAGGACGAUGCAUGCAGACAUUUUAUUAACUAUUCACCUAGACCUUACAAAGUAAUACAUCAAUAAGUCCGAAGCCACCAUCUCGGCAACAUCUGUCACUACUCCUUUCAACUUGAUGAGGGAUGCAGAUUGUCUGAGCCGCAUACCAAGACCUCAAAUCAAAGCCAACAUCUGAAGCCGGAGGGCCCAACCAAGCUGCAUUGCCGGGUCUGGGGCACACACCACUGGUCCAGCGCACUCUCAGUGGUCACCGCAUGCGCACGCUGCAGAGGCCGCCACCAUCGUCUUCCACUAAUUCAUCUUCAGAGCAGGUACUGACGCAUCAACCUUACCAGGCCUGCCCUCGACACCACCACAGUGCCAGACAACGCCACCUCCCUAUGCGCGUCCAUCUUUCUCAACUUUUUUCUGAUUCGGAUGUAUAUACACACUUUAGGUGUUUGUUCAUAUUUGAGUCCGUACGUAGUCCAUAUCGAAAUAUCCAAAACAUCUUAUAUUUAAGAACGGAGGGAGUACAAUUUAACGCAUCCACACAAAUCUUCUUUUACAAAACAAAAGCUAAAAAUAGUUUAUUUAGCCAACUGGCCUAAUCCAAUUGGGGAUUAAUAGUUCCAGAAGAUAUAUUUUGAUCAUGAUAGACAGGUACUGGGAGUCAUUUCUUAGUUUAGCAUAAGCUGUUAUCAAUACACGUCAGUCACAUAAUAUCAAUACACGUCAGUCACAUAUAUAAUUUAUAAUGGCAUAAAGCAAAGAGAGUCCCGGACGGCUCUUGUUUCGGUGGUCUAAGAAGUGAAAAAGACCUCUCAACAAGAGCAAGCAUAACUCCCUUAGCCUGAAGAGUUGAACGUACUGGGAUUUUGGAACACUUGCUAGAAGCUUUCAAACCUCCACUGCAUUUUCAGUCGUACACCAGAACAGUGCUACUGCCCACUGAUAUCAAGAAUCAACCUGGAAGUGGGCUAUGCGCGUUCACUAGAAUGGCCACGACAGCACAAAACUCAAAAAGAUAGACACGCCUGGUCUGAUGCCCCCGUCGGUCGACAUGAAUGGCAGGCAGGCAGGCAGGACAGGGACGAGCACAUCACGUCAGCUGCUGAGUGCUGACACGGAGCGCGCACGGCACAGCAAGAGGCAAGAGAGAAGAGACGAUCGAGCAUCAGGUUUGCACCAGUAUCUGCACAAACAACGAUACAGAUGGAAUCGGCAUCCAAAGGAGAAAUUGCCGGUGUGGCUCCAAUUCUCGACACGGAGCGACGCGAGUUUUUCUUGGCGCUAGGAAACCCGGUCGCUCACAAGCAGUCACAUUUGGACCAACUCGCGCUACGCUACUGUUGUUGCAGCAGAGCAAGACAGGGGCAAACAUAUAGGUACAGUAGAAACAAGAGCGCAAGCAAGCAAGCAAGCGAGCGAGAGGAUUACCUUGCGAGGGGUGGGUGCGCGGGAAGGCGGCGACGGGGAUGUCCUCGAAGCAGGAGUUGAGCUUCUCCGACGGGGACAGCUGCGGCUGCGCCACCUCCCACAGGUCCUCCACCCGGUGCCCGAUCUCCGCCUCCGGGCUCCGCGGGCUGUCCGUCUCCAUCUCCUCUCCCCAAACUCGGCGUCCUCCGCCUCCCCCACUCUGUCUCCCCCUUCUUGGCCGGACCGGAGUACUUCCUCCUGGAUUCUCCCAACAGCUCUGUAAAUAACUGCACGAUCUCUCUCUCCUCUUCUGCUUGCUGCUACGCGCGGGGAAAUGCAAGAGAUAUAUUAAACUCUAAGCCAAAUUGCUGCGUCGACGGAUGCGAACCCGCUGAUACUAAUAAUACUGGCACUCCGCCUCCGCAGUCAGUGUAGUGGUGUCUUGUUCUUAUCUCUGCGAGUCUAAACUGUCAACGCGAGAGAGGGGCCCGCGUGCGAGUGCGAGGACGUGCUGCUCUCCGCGGCGUGCGUCCACGAAGCACGCUGACAGGAGGGGAGCACAAUAUAGAGGGACCACAUGUCAUCGAUGCUGCUCGAGAUCGAGCUUUGUCCUUCCAAGUCUGUUUCUGGCGACCAGACGAGCAAAACCGCUGCGGCGAGGCGGCUCAUGGACAGCCCGUGUGGACGUGGCCAGAUUAGCUGGUUUUCUUCCUUCUUACCCUCUUUCAGCUGGCUUCGUCAGAUUAUGUGGGGCCCAGGUUAAUAUAUUUAGUAUGUAAUAAUCCAGAAGGUUCGGGGUGUGCUACGUCGAGGCGCACGAUAAUAACUACACCCUCGUGUAUUUAAUACUCCCUCCGUUUUAUACUGCAGUGCGUAUAGAUUUAUCAAAAAAAAAAUCAAAACUUUAUAAAAUUUGAUCAAGUUUAUAACUACGCCAAGGUCCUCUCCCCCUCUCCCUCCCGUGGCGCCCCGCGGGCGCCCCUGGAGAAAACCCUAGCCUGUCACUGUAGCUCCCCCCUCCUCCACUGUCGUUAGUGGGCGUCGUCGGGCAAAGUCUGUGCUGCGUCGGCAACAGCGGGCCUAUUCACUUCCUCGCAUCGGCCGGGGGGCGUGGGAAGUCAGAUCCGGCGGAGGCUCACACGCGCGGCGGCUGGGUGCGACUUGGCGUCGACUACGAGCUCGAGGAGGCUUGGACGGGAGGAACGAUGUCGACGGUGUUCCAGGCGGAUGCAGCGGCUCGAGUGGGCUUCCCUCCCCGUCUGGAUCUAGCCUAUGCAGCGGCGGCGACUCGGCUUGUCGUGGCUGGAGGUGGUAGGAGGUUGCCGCACUGAGAAGAAGGUGGAGAGUGGUGGGUUGGAUAUGCGACUCUGCUGGCGGAAGUUGGCGGAGUUUGGUGAUGCUCGUGGCACCAUGGAGGUGGAGGGGCUGCCCUUAGCUUCGGGGGAGGGGGGAGGGGGAGGGCGGCGGUGUUGGGCGGGCCUAGACCGGUGGUAUUGGCCAGUGUGCUUUGCCUCUUCUCGCCCACUGGUGGUCUUUGCACUGGUGGCCUGGGUCCGCUGGGCGUGGUGGCUUCGAUGGUUGGUGGUAGUUCCUGGCGGUGGGUGGUUCGACUCCAGAUGCGAGGUGGUGGUGGAGAUGGUGGAGGUUGUUGUACUGCUUGAUGUGACGCCUCCCAUCAUGGUGGCCAGCCUGAUUGAGCAGCUCCGGGACUUUGGGUUUUGUGAUCUUGAGCUAGGAGCAAUCCAUGCUUCGCGACGCUGAGGCUAGCAAUGGCAACAUCCAUGGGGGCCGUCCCCUCCCUGGAGGCAUUGCUUUGGCCCCGAUCAAACUCCCUCACUCAUGCUCAGCGGAAACUCUUGGUCUAGCCUUUGGACUAGGUGGCGGCGGCAAGGUGUUGUUCCCUCCUUGAAGGCGAUAUCUCGUUGCUCGAGGAGUCCCGGUGGCACAACUCUUGUCGGUGUCGGCUACCACUCUGGGUGUGGGCCUUCGCGGCGCAAUGUACACCAUCGCCGGAGCUCUCUCGACUCCUCCUCUUCUAGGUCCUCCCAAUCCCUGCCAUCCACUUGUCGACUUCCUCUUGGCACAAUGGGCGGGGUACGUUGGUUUGUGUUGUCCCGAGUCUUGGUCUUGUUGUUGUUGGGAAACGUUGCAUGGAAAACAAUUUUUUUCUACGCACAUGCAAGAUAUAUCCAUGGAGAUGCAUAGCAGCGAGGGGGAGAGUAUGUCUAUGUACCCUCGUAGACCGUAAGCGGAAGCGUUUGACAACACGGUUGAUGUAGUCGAACUUCUUCGCGAUCCAACCGAUCGAGUACCGAACGUACGACACCUCCGCGUUCAGCACACGUUCAGCUCGGUGACGUCCACGCCUUCUUGAUCCAGUAAGACAACAAGGUAGUGGAUGAGUUCCGGCAGCACGACGGCGUGGUGACGGUGAUGAUGAAGUUAUCUCUGAAGGGCUUCGCCUAAGCACUACAAAAAUAUGACCGGGGGUUUAAACAGUGGAGGGGGCGCCGCACACGGCUAAGCAAUUGUUCUGGUUGUGCUAGGUGCACCCCUCCCACAUAUAUAGAGGUGGGGGUGGAGGGAGCAGUGAGGAGGCGCCCCCCCAAGUAGGUCAAAUCCUACUUGGGGUCCUCCCAAGUGGCGCCCCCUUCCUUAUAUAAGUGCGGGAGGAAGGAAGGAGGAGGUGCCCCCCCCUUUCCUUUCUCCCCUGAGGAGGGAAAGGCAGGAGGGGCCAUCCCUCCCCUUUCCUUCCCCCUAGGGCUGGCCUGCCAUGUAGAGGGGCGCACCAGCCCCCUAUUGGGUUGGUCUGUCCCCUCCUUUGGCCCAUUAAGCCCAUACACUUACUGAGGGUGUCCGGAACCCCUUACGUUGACCCGAUGACUACCCAGUGCACUCUGAAACUAUUUCGGUGUCCGAAUACCAUCAUCCUAUAUAUCAAUCUUUACCUCUCGACCAUUUUGAGACUCCUCAUCAUGUCCGUGAUCUCAUCCGGGACUCCGGACAAAAUUCGGCACCAAAUCAUAUAACUCAUAUAACACUAUAUCGUCAACGAUCGUUUAAGCGUGCGGACCCUACGGGUUCGAGAACUAUGUAGACAUGACCGAGAAACCUCUUCAGUCUAUAACCAAUAGCGGAACCUGGAUGCCCAUAUUGGCUCCUACAUAUUCUACGAAGAUCUUUAUAGGUCGAAAUGUUAUGACAACAUACGUAAUUCCCUUUGUCCAUCAGUAUGUUACUUGCCCGAGAUUCGAUCUCGGUAUCUUCAUAUCUAGUUCAAUCUCGUUACCGGCAAGUUUCUUUACUUGUUCCGUAAUACAUCUCCUCGUAACUAACUCCUUAGUCAUUUGCUUGCAAGCUUAUGAUGUGUAUUAUCGAGAGGGCCCAGAGAUACCUCUCCGAUACUCGGAGUGACAAAUCCUAACCUUGAUCUGUGCCAACUCAACAAACACCUUCGGAGAUACCUGUAGAGCAUCUUUAUGAUCACCCAGUUACGUUGUG
RNAcentral lists this long non-coding RNA (6875 nucleotides) under Triticum aestivum (bread wheat). Its description in RNAcentral is "long non-coding RNA (TAES_LNC022572)". Lineage: Eukaryota; Viridiplantae; Streptophyta; Magnoliopsida; Poales; Poaceae. The record is from RNAcentral.